RNAcentral lists this ribosomal RNA (572 nucleotides) under uncultured bacterium. RNAcentral describes it as "partial 16S ribosomal RNA". It matches the Rfam family "Bacterial small subunit ribosomal RNA", at positions 355 to 918 of the family's 1533-position model. The record is from RNAcentral.
UGGGGAAUUUUGGACAAUGGGCGAAAGCCUGAUCCAGCAAUGCCGCGUGUGUGAAGAAGGCCUUCGGGUUGUAAAGCACUUUUGUCCGGAAAGAAAUCCUUGGCUCUAAUACAGUCGGGGGAUGACGGUACCGGAAGAAUAAGCACCGGCUAACUACGUGCCAGCAGCCGCGGUAAUACGUAGGGUGCAAGCGCUAAUCGGAAUUACUGGGCGUAAAGCGUGCGCAGGCGGUUUGCUAAGACCGAUGUGAAAUCCCCGGGCUCAACCUGGGAACUGCAUUGGUGACUGGCAGGCUAGAGUAUGGCAGAGGGGGGUAGAAUUCCACGUGUAGCAGUGAAAUGCGUAGAGAUGUGGAGGAAUACCGAUGGCGAAGGCAGCCCCCUGGGCCAAUACUGACGCUCAUGCACGAAAGCGUGGGGAGCAAACAGGAUUAGAUACCCUGGUAGUCCACGCCCUAAAACGAUGUCAACUAGUUGUUGGGGGAUUCAUUUCCUUAGUAACGUAGCUAACGCGUGAAGUUGACCGCCUGGGGAGUACGGUCGCAAGAUUAAAACUCAAAUGAAUUGACGGGG